UUACACAGCCAUAUCACCCUGCAACUCACAACUGGCAACCCACUGAAGCUAAGCAGGUGUGAGCCUGGUAAGUACCUGGAUGGGAGACCUCCUGGGAAAAACUAAGGUUGCUGCUGGAA
This 119-nucleotide ribosomal RNA is filed under the name Lepisosteus oculatus (spotted gar). Lineage: Eukaryota; Metazoa; Chordata; Actinopteri; Semionotiformes; Lepisosteidae. The record is from RNAcentral.